This 421-nucleotide ribosomal RNA is filed under the name uncultured bacterium. RNAcentral's name for it is "bacterial SSU rRNA". It matches the Rfam family "Bacterial small subunit ribosomal RNA", at positions 355 to 774 of the family's 1533-position model. The record is from RNAcentral.
UAAGGAAUAUUGGUCAAUGGACGCAAGUCUGAACCAGCCAUGCCGCGUGAAGGAUGAAGGUCCUCUGGAUUGUAAACUUCUUUUAUCUGGGACGAAAACGGGAUUUUUAUCUCAAUUGACGGUACCAGAGGAAUAAGCACCGGCUAACUCCGUGCCAGCAGCCGCGGUAAUACGGAGGGUGCGAGCGUUAUCCGGAUUUACUGGGUUUAAAGGGUGCGUAGGUGGGCUUAUAAGUCAGUGGUGAAAUCUCCGAGCUUAACUUGGAAACUGCCGUUGAUACUAUAGGUCUUGAAUUAUCUGGAGGUAAGCGGAAUAUGUCAUGUAGCGGUGAAAUGCUUAGAUAUGACAUAGAACACCAAUUGCGAAGACAGCUUACUACAUAUAAAUUGACGCUGAGGCACGAAAGCGUGGGGAUCAAACA